RNAcentral lists this ribosomal RNA (125 nucleotides) under Fulvia fulva. Its description in RNAcentral is "Passalora fulva partial 18S ribosomal RNA". It matches the Rfam family "Eukaryotic small subunit ribosomal RNA", at positions 1709 to 1831 of the family's 1831-position model. Lineage: Eukaryota; Fungi; Ascomycota; Dothideomycetes; Mycosphaerellales; Mycosphaerellaceae. The record is from RNAcentral.
UUCGGACUUGGCUAGGGAGGUCGGCAACGACCACCCAGGGCCGGAAAGUUGGUCAAACUCGGUCACUUAGAGGAAGUAAAAGUCGUAACAAGGUCUCCGUAGGUGAACCUGCGGAGGGAUCAUUA